AAAGAACUUUGAAGAGAGAGUUCAAGUAUACGUGAAACCGCCCAGAGGUAAACGGGUGGAUCCGCCAGAGGUAAACGGGUGGAUCCGCAAAGUCGGCCCGCGGAAUUCAGCGCGGCGCGCGGCCCGGGGUUUUGCCGCUGUUCGGGAUCGCUCGUUGAACCGAACCCGGUAGCCUCGCCGGGCCCCGCCGCGUGCACUUUCCGCGGCGGAGAGCCACAACCGGUUUGGCGCGGUUCUUUUUCGCUGGGGAAGGGUUGUAGGUGGGGGCGCUCGCCAUCCCCACCAGCCUCUCCCGUCAGGUCAGCCGUCGCCGGACCGAAGAACCUGCCUCGAGGCCGCCUCCCCCUCCGGGCGAGUCCGACUGGGAGAGACUGGGCGACCGUGUCUCCCGACCGCUCGCCCGCCAGGCCCCGCGCGGCGAAAGCUAGCGAGGGUUGGUGGCAAGUCUGUCGGCAUUCCACCCGACCCGUCUUGAAACACGGACCAAGGAGUCUAACAUGCGCGCGAGUCAUUAAGCGGUACGAAACCCAAAGGCGCAGUGAAAGCGAGGGUCGCCUCCGAGCGGCCCAGGUGGGAUCCUCUUUCCCCCUUGCCCUCGCGGGCUUGUGUGGGGGAGUGGC
This 620-nucleotide ribosomal RNA is filed under the name Hypselostoma erawan. RNAcentral's name for it is "partial 28S ribosomal RNA". It matches the Rfam family "Eukaryotic large subunit ribosomal RNA", at positions 368 to 793 of the family's 3401-position model. The record is from RNAcentral. Lineage: Eukaryota; Metazoa; Mollusca; Gastropoda; Stylommatophora; Vertiginidae.